AGGACGAACGCUGGCGGCGUGCUUAACACAUGCAAGUCGAGGGGGAGUAGGGGCAACUCUACUCCACCGGCGAACGGGUGCGUAACACGUGAGCGACCUACCCUGGUGUGGGGGAUAGCCGGCCCAACGGCCGGGUAAUACCGCAUGCGCUCGUCUGGCUUCCUGGUCGGACGAGCAAAGCCUUCGGGCGCAUUGGGAGGGGCUCGCGGCCUAUCAGCUAGUUGGCGGGGUAACGCCCACCAAGGCGGCGACGGGUAGCUGGUCUGAGAGGAUGGCCAGCCACAUUGGGACUGAGAGACGGCCCAGACUCCUACGGGAGGCAGCAGUGGGGAAUUCUGCGCGAAGUAGGACGAACGCGUCGACGCACGCGACGCCGCGUGGCGGACGGACGGCCGUCGGUCGUACCG
Molecule: ribosomal RNA, 407 nt
Filed under: uncultured soil bacterium
Lineage: Bacteria
Description: bacterial SSU rRNA
Rfam family: Bacterial small subunit ribosomal RNA
Source: RNAcentral